This 433-nucleotide ribosomal RNA is filed under the name uncultured bacterium. Its description in RNAcentral is "partial 16S ribosomal RNA". It matches the Rfam family "Bacterial small subunit ribosomal RNA", at positions 29 to 507 of the family's 1533-position model. The record is from RNAcentral.
AGCGAACGCUGGCGGCAGGCCUAACACAUGCAAGUCGAACGAACUCUUCGGAGUUAGUGGCGGACGGGUGAGUAACACGUGGGAACGUGCCUUUUGGUUCGGAAUAACUCAGGGAAACUUGUGCUAAUACCGAAUGUGCCCUUCGGGGGAAAGAUUUAUCGCCAUUAGAGCGGCCCGCGUCUGAUUAGCUAGUUGGUGAGGUAACGGCUCACCAAGGCGACGAUCAGUAGCUGGUCUGAGAGGAUGACCAGCCACAAUGGGACUGAGACACGGCCCAGACUCCUACGGGAGGCAGCAGUGGGGAAUCUUGCGCAAUGGGCGAAAGCCUGACGCAGCCAUGCCGCGUGAAUGAUGAAGGUCUUAGGAUUGUAAAAUUCUUUCACCGGGGACGAUAAUGACGGUACCCGGAGAAGAAGCCCCGGCUAACUUCGUG